CUGCAGCAUCAAGAGUCGGGCCGACGCCCGGCACCAACCUGCCCCGUGCAAGGUGGUGCCUCCAUGGCAAAGUGGAGGGAUGUGGCCGAACCCGGCAACACGGUGUCUACGC
This 112-nucleotide non-coding RNA is filed under the name Sphingomonas sp. RNAcentral describes it as "SAM-I-IV sequence". It matches the Rfam family "SAM-I/IV (S-adenosyl methionine) riboswitch aptamer". Rfam says of the family: It is found upstream of a number of genes which code for proteins involved in methionine or cysteine biosynthesis. It has been found mostly in the order Actinomycetales. Lineage: Bacteria; Pseudomonadati; Pseudomonadota; Alphaproteobacteria; Sphingomonadales; Sphingomonadaceae. The record is from RNAcentral.